CUCUGUCUUUCUGGCUCAUCAAGUACUAGCGGACUCUCUCUGUGUACCGUAUCAGUGCCUGAACUGUAGUGCAUCUGGAAACUGCCAGCUGUGCUCCAACACCUCAGUAGCCAACAGUACCAGCUGCAUUGGUCAGUAGCAAAAUCUUUUUUUCCCAACAGAAAAAGAGCAAAUGAUUGAUGAUAUUUGACAGAUGACUGAUCAUUCUUUCUUCCUCCAUAGAUGCUCCCAAAAUCUGCAUCAUAGAUGCCGCUGUAAAGCUGAUUGCUGAUUCUUUCCAGGUUGAAGAACGAUCUGCACUGACUGUGGACUGUAAUCAUAGCCUGCCUCAAAACAUGAACACAAGUUUCAUGUGGCUAAUAAAUAACAAUGAGAUGAUGGGUGAAAUCAACAGUAGCCUGGUUGUGAAGAUCAAUGAGACAAUAAAACUGGCCUGCACGGUGUUCAGUCCAUGUGGAAAAUUCAGCUCUAACUCUCAAGAAAUAACUAUCAAAGAUGGAAGUGGGCUCAUUAUCCUGAUCUGUGGAGUAGGAGCUGUGGUGGUUAUUGUCAUUCUGGGUGUUGUCAUGAAAAUUAUAAUAAAAAGAAAUGAAGGUGAGCUCGACCAGCGAUGCCUUUCUUUUUCAGUUAUUUUAAAUCAUUGUCAUUGUCAUUAAAUCAUUGAAUCAUUCCACAUUGUCAUAUGGAAACAUAUGUGGGUAAUUUAAAAUUGGUGGUCUCUCUGUUUUUCUCUCUCUUAUUUUUUAGUCCAAAACGAGGCAAGGAAGCGUCAGAGACAAGCACGCAUGCAGAACAUCAGCAGCACCACCGAGGUCACAGGAUACUGGUGAAGAGAGAAAGAAAUGUAUUGUUCUAUACAGCGAAUGUUGAGAAGACAUUAGCCAAAAUUGAGUAAUAAGAAAUUGUAAAAUUGACCCUGCUAUUUGCUUGGCUGAGAGGCGUUUUAUGAGUGACAUUAUCAGCCGAUAAUGCACUGUAACCGAAGCUCUCCAUGUAUUACUCCACCACAUACAGAUAACCUAGCAACAAUGCAGCGCUUACAAACCAAGUGCAAUAUCAUUUGAUGUCACCAUUGGGAGAUGCUAGAUCCCAUAGGCACAAUGAAUAAGCGUCAUAUCUCUAAUAAGCAGCGCAGGAAAAGAUGCUGUCCC
RNAcentral lists this long non-coding RNA (1151 nucleotides) under Astyanax mexicanus (Mexican tetra). RNAcentral's name for it is "lncRNA (ENSAMXG00005025403.1)". The record is from RNAcentral. Lineage: Eukaryota; Metazoa; Chordata; Actinopteri; Characiformes; Acestrorhamphidae.